Molecule: ribosomal RNA, 360 nt
Filed under: uncultured bacterium
Lineage: Bacteria
Description: partial 16S ribosomal RNA
Rfam family: Bacterial small subunit ribosomal RNA
Source: RNAcentral
CCUACGGGUGGCAGCAGUGAGGAAUAUUGGUCAAUGGGCUUACGCCUGAACCAGCCAAGUCGCGUGAGGGAAGACUGCCCUAUGGGUUGUAAACCUCUUUUGUCAGGGAGCAACGCCGGCUACGUGUAGCCGGACUGAGAGUACCUGAAGGAAAAGCAUCGGCUGACUCCGUGCCAGCAGCCGCGGUAAUACGGAUGAUGCGCUUGUUAUCCGGAUUUAUUGGGUUUAAAGGGUGCGUAGGCGGAAUGCCAAGUCAGCGGUAAAAUCGCGGGGCUCAACCUCGCUCCGCCGUUGAAACUGGCGUUAGUGAGUGGGCGAGAAGUAUGCGGUAUGCGGGGUGUAGCGGUGAAGUGCAUAGAU